AAAGUCCUGGGGUGUUCGACGCUCCCAUUAUUUUUGAACCUACAUUACUUUAAACGGGAUUCCUAUAUUGCCGGUUUCAAUGUCAGGCCGUCAUUAUGCAGCGGAAGACAGCGCGCCGGUUGCGGUUGCCCACCUGGCUUAGGCUAGGAGUCAGAAGAUGGGAAACGGCACUUUGGGACUUUU
Molecule: non-coding RNA, 183 nt
Organism: Blautia sp. An46
Lineage: Bacteria; Bacillati; Bacillota; Clostridia; Lachnospirales; Lachnospiraceae
Rfam family: 6S / SsrS RNA
About the family: E. coli 6S RNA was the first non coding RNA to be sequenced, but its function was unknown until recently. It consists of 184 nucleotides that fold into an extended hairpin structure with a large single-stranded internal bulge. The 6S RNA specifically associates with RNA polymerase holoenzyme containing the sigma70 specificity factor.
Source: Rfam